Molecule: ribosomal RNA, 231 nt
Filed under: Prevotella sp.
Lineage: Bacteria; Pseudomonadati; Bacteroidota; Bacteroidia; Bacteroidales; Prevotellaceae
Description: partial 23S ribosomal RNA
Rfam family: Bacterial large subunit ribosomal RNA
Source: RNAcentral
AGUACGAGAGGACCGUGUUGGACUGACCUCUGGUUUACCGGUUGUGGCGCCAGCUGCACCGCCGGGUAUCUACGUCGGGAUCGGAUAAGCGCUGAAAGCAUCUAAGUGCGAAGCCGGCCACAAGAUAAGAUUUCCUCAUAAGGGUCGUUGUAGACGAUGACGUUGAUAGGGUGUAGGUGUAAAGACGGUGACGUCAAAGCCGAGCACUACUAAUUGCCCGAAACUUUCUUC